UUGACCUCAAAUCAGGUAGGACUACCCGCUGAACUUAAGCAUAUCAAUAAGCGGAGGAAAAGAAACUAACAAGGAUUCCCCUAGUAACUGCGAGUGAAGCGGGAAAAGCUCAAAUUUAAAAUCUGGUGGUCUUUGGCUACCCGAGUUGUAAUCUAGAGAAGCAUUAUCCGCGCUGGACCGUGUAUAAGUCUCCUGGAAUGGAGCGUCAUAGAGGGUGAGAAUCCCGUCUUUGACACGGACUACCAGGGCUUUGUGAUACGCUCUCAAAGAGUCGAGUUGUUUGGGAAUGCAGCUCUAAAUGGGUGGUAAGUUCCAUCUAAAGCUAAAUAUUGGCGAGAGACCGAUAGCGAACAAGUACCGUGAGGGAAAGAUGAAAAGAACUUUGGAAAGAGAGUUAAACAGUACGUGAAAUUGUUGAAAGGGAAACGCUUGAAGUCAGUCGCAUUGGCUAGGGAUCAACCUUGCUUUUUUGCUUGGUGCACUUCCUGGUUGAUGGGUCAGCAUCAAUUUUGAUCAGUGGAAAAAGUUCAAGGGAAUGUGGCAUCUUCGGAUGUGUUAUAGCCUUUGUUCGUAUACAUUGGUUGGGAUUGAGGAACUCAGCA
This 602-nucleotide ribosomal RNA is filed under the name Entoloma serrulatum. RNAcentral describes it as "eukaryotic LSU rRNA". It matches the Rfam family "Eukaryotic large subunit ribosomal RNA", at positions 1 to 600 of the family's 3401-position model. Lineage: Eukaryota; Fungi; Basidiomycota; Agaricomycetes; Agaricales; Entolomataceae. The record is from RNAcentral.